Molecule: ribosomal RNA, 253 nt
Filed under: uncultured bacterium
Lineage: Bacteria
Description: partial 16S ribosomal RNA
Rfam family: Bacterial small subunit ribosomal RNA
Source: RNAcentral
GACGAACUGUCCUAACGUUGUUCGGAAUCACUGGGCUUAAAGGGCGCGUAGGCGGUCCGACAAGUCAGGGGUGAAAUCCUGCAGCUUAACUGUAGAAGUGCCUCUGAUACUGGCGAACUCGAGGGAGGUAGGGGUGGGUGGAACUUCUGGUGGAGCGGUGAAAUGCGUUGAUAUCAGAAGGAACGCCGGUGGCGAAAGCGACCCACUGGACCUCUUCUAACGCUGAGGCGCGAAAGCUAGGGGAGCAAGCGGG